This is a long non-coding RNA of Puntigrus tetrazona (Sumatra barb), 1467 nucleotides long. RefSeq lists it as uncharacterized. The transcript is spliced from 2 exons. NCBI's taxonomy places the organism in Eukaryota, Metazoa, Chordata, Actinopteri, Cypriniformes, Cyprinidae. The record is from RefSeq and is a predicted model, not a curated record.
ACCAGCUCUGCCAUCUGAGAGGAUACUUUGGCACGGCGAGGCUUGGCUCACCUUGGCACCAAGGUCAAGAGGACAAAGGCUCGAGAAGGACGGGAAUCCAGCUCGACCGCGACGACAGCCUCAGACCGUUGCUGAACACACCGAGGGCUUCAGUAAGUAUUAAAGCAAAGACGGGAAGCGAAGAAUAAACAUUUAAGAGCUCCGGCUCCCUGAGACUCUUGGGAUUUAUCCGUUCCUGAGGGCUACGCUUCUGCACAGCCAUCUGGAGGAGAAGGAGAGACGAGGUUCAAGGAAAACUGUCACGAAGAUAAAUCCUGCCACGGAUACAGUUCAUUUCAAGAAGCUCGACAUUUUAUUAAUAAAAAAGACGUUUUGUAUCUUGAUUGUAUCUUGACCUAAUAAGCAUCAUGUCCCACUUUUUCACAGUUUGAAAAAUAAUGUAAGCGUUUAUUUGUGUUCCUUUUUAUGUCAAAAAUCUUUUCUAACAAAGAAAUGCAACAUAUUUUAUAAAAACAGACUACAAAGUUAAGUCCGAACUCGUCAUGUUUAGACUCCACUCACCCUUUAUCAGAAAGCACAUCAUUCAGGCCUUUUUAAUACUGGUGCAGAAAAUGGUCAGUACUAUCAUACUCCUUUCAUUUUUUUGAGGUCUAUUAACAUUUUAUUUUAAUCUACUAGUAUAUAGAUAUAUAUAUAUAUAUAGCUCCCAUCAUUACAGGAUUUUAAGAGUACUUAAUUUAUUAAACGUUGUAUUUAAAAUAUAGAAAAGAGUCGUGGUAAAUAUGCACUUACCAAAACUAAGUCACACCUUGAUUCAUGAAUAUAUUUAGGGAAAAGUAUAUAACAAAUGUCUAGUAUGUGAGACUGGAUUUAGAUCUUAUCUUCGGUGUCUGGCAGAUUUUGAUAACGUCAGUUAAUCUCCGUCUUCAUUGGUGAGUGAAGUAACGCAGCACCAACAAAGUUGCUGUGUUUCUCUAAUUUGCAUUUAAUUGAGGGUUAAUGCCACUGAACCUCUGGACAGAAGACUUCUCUUCUCACAUGCAAAGGUCUUGUCUGGAGUGAUUGUGUUUAGAUGGCGUAAUACAUCACCUGUGCUACACCUGUGACGACUUCCACGGUCGAUGAUGAAUACAGCUGAAACACUGCAGCAUUCUCCUUUCAGCUGAACUAAAUAUAUUUUUCUCAUUCAUGAAUUUUCUUUUUUACAGCAAGUGGAUGUAUUUAAUGAGUUGAGCAAAAGUUGUCCCCUACUCUGUAAUCACAAGUGCUGUCACUGACUAUUAAAAACCUCUUUCCGUCGACCUCUAACCUCUCCUUCCAUCUAGAAUUAACAAAUGAAUUAACUUUGUUUUAAAUUCUAUUGACACCCUGCGGUGCCGCGGCUCCGAAAGUGAUAUAGAAGCGACUGAAUGUAACACAAUGGCUUUUUACUCUAAAGAUAAUAAAAAGAACAGGGGAAGAUAAUGA